Molecule: small RNA, 3302 nt
Filed under: Pan troglodytes (chimpanzee)
Lineage: Eukaryota; Metazoa; Chordata; Mammalia; Primates; Hominidae
Description: processed transcript
Source: RNAcentral
GAGCUCUCCUGUCACCAGUAUUGAUUUCAGAGGAUGGACUAAAUUUCCUAGGAUUUCCAUUAAGAAUUAAGAAAAAAGCUCUAAGCACGCAGGGUAGCCAGACAGACAUGGAUAUGAGAUGGCACUGUGAAAACUCGCAGCUGAUAUUUGAAUCUCCUGAAGGCCUCCUUCCCUCAUCACUCUAGCAUAGAGAAUGGAGCUAAGGACAAUAUUGUGGAGUAGGUAGGCAAUUUCCAGUAUGCAGAAAAAUUGGAGAGAGUCACAGACAAUUAUACAUUCAUGGAUAUAUCUAGGGUCUUUUGGCACAUUAAAGACAAUAUGAGUUCAAACCGAGUAACAACUAUUAAAAAGCAGAAAUAUAUGAGAGAUAGUUUAUAUUUUUGCAUCAUAAACUAUGUGUAUUAUCACUACCCAUUUCCAUUUGCUCCUCAAAUUUUCACCUUUAUUUUAAUUCAUUUGAUUAAUCAUAAGUAACUAGCUCACAUUUCCCAAAAAUCAAUGAUAAUUUUUUUCAGUGUUGUGCUAUAUAUUUUUUGAUCUGUGGGUUAAGCCACAAUUCAUUUUCUUGGGAAUAAAAAACAUUCAAAUACUUGUUUUACUAUUUUCCCAUAACUAUAAUGUAUAGCCUUUUGUUAUAAAGUCUCCAUUACUUUAUUCAUUACUUUGAAAGACAAAAACUAUUUAUCAUGGUGGGAAUGACUUGAAUAUUAUUUUGGGGAGCCAAAAUAAGUCAGUUCCCAAAAGAAAUUAGUUCUGCAGUCUUUAUGCUCUCACCUUUGUUCCCCCUGCUUUUUUAUUAAAAUGUAAUGAGUCUUGUAGGAUUCCACCAUCUUGGCUCUAAGCCUGUUUCAGAUUUUUGAUGAAAAACAUGAUUACAUAAGUUCACAGCCUAAAUUUAUUAGUAAAGUCAUGGAUAAAGUGAAGGCUUAACAGUAUGGGGAAAUGCCAUUACCUGGCUGACUUAACAUCGUUCAAGUUGAAAACUCUACAGGAGUAUAUCAGUCUACGGCCAUACCACCCUGAAUGCACCCAUUCUCAUCUGAUCUCAGAAGCUAAGCAGAGUUGAUCCUGACCACAGAUGACAUCCUUGUGGCCUCAGCAGAGUGUCCCAGCGAUGAUGAGGACAUUGACCCCUGUGAGCCGAGCUCAGGUGGGUUAGCCAACCCAACCCGAGCAGGCGGCAGAGAGCCGUAUCCAGGAUCAGCAGAAGUGAUCCGGGAGUCCAGCAGCACCACGGGUAUGGUCGUUGGGAUAGUAGCCGCUGCCGCCCUGUGCAUCCUUAUCCUCCUCUAUGCCAUGUACAAGUACAGAAACCGGGAUGAAGGCUCAUACCAUGUGGACGAGAGUCGAAACUACAUCAGUAACUCAGCACAGUCCAAUGGGGCUGUUGUAAAGGAGAAACAACCCAGCAGUGCGAAAAGCUCCAACAAAAAUAAGAAAAACAAGGAUAAAGAGUAUUAUGUCUGAUCCCAAGAUCUUAAAUGGACACUUGUAUAGAAAUAGUCUUCAUUUUAUCUGAGACAUAAUAUAAACUUACUUACUUUCCUUUUUAUGAAGCACAUACAAAAGAAGACAGGGAAUGCAAUCAGGAAGGAAAGACUUUUUAAAAAAUAAAAACAAGUAUCUCAUGCUCUUGUUUCUCAAAAAAGAAAAACAAAAAACAAAAAACAGGGGCCAAUAAAUUCCCUAACAUCCACAGUGUUUUCAUUUACUCUGCUUGUCUUUAUGUUGCUGGAACAUUUCUAAAAGACAGUGAUGACCGCACGCAUUCAUAAAGCAAAGGAGUACUACAGCAUCAAGGCACAACACAAAAACCAACACAAAACAUAACACAAAAAAGAAGCUACCUAUGAUCCUGGAUUUAGCCAAAGUGCUAGCGCUUUCCUGAGAAGUCAGUUAGUCCAAUUGCCAGAGAAGACUGUCCUUUUGAGUGACUCAACCUGCAAACCUUUAAGAGUUUGCCGCCUGGUGCAACUGGAGCAGUGGUUGGAACUUGCAUUUGAAACAAAGUGCUGGCUUUUUUGAAGACUUGUGUAGGAACACAUUCAAAAAGCCCCUUUCUGGUUGUGAGAGAGGAAAAAAAAGUAUGGAGGCCUUAUUUUCAAAAAUGUGAAAUAUAAGGCACGUUUUCACACAAAAUUUCAAAACAAAAACAAGAGGGCAUAGAUGCAAUCAUUGGGAAAUUUUCAUGCACGCUUAUUAUGUUAUUACAUAUGUUUAUAUAAAAUCCAUCUCUGUGUGCUUUCUGGACUGUGAUAAGUGAUGUUUUAUAGCCUGUUGUAUAGAAAAUGCAAAAUAUAUCUCUGCUCUUCAGCCAUUUUUGGUAAAUUCAAUGUUAUAAGUGUUGCUAAGUAUAGGGAGUUUUAUGACAUCAGAGCAACAAUUAUUUCAGUUGGGUUUUUCUUUUUUUUUUGCCACCAUUAUAAAUUGCCACAAUUACUUACUUUUAUUUUUUAAAGAAAUUACAGUGUAGUGUUUAUUCUAAGGAAGAUAUGUAUGAAUGUAUAUACAAAGACUCAGCUACUUCUUUUCUUAUAUGUACAGCCUUCAUUCUGUUGCAAUUAAGUUUUAGUACUUGUAUGAAAGGUGUGAAUUAGAAAGUCACAUAUAUACAUAUGUAUCUUAUAAUCUUUUCUCCCUGAAAUACUCACAUUCCCACAUACAUUCACUAUUUUAACACACACACACACACACGAAUCCACAGCAAUCCAUCAGAUAUGCUGGAAGAUCCAAACGUGCAUACAGUAGCAAAUAUUUAUUGACAAAUUGAAAAGCAGGAAGGAAGAGGGUUGUGCCAAGGUAUUGAUGACAAAUGGGGUGAUUUGCUUCAUUGAGAUCUUGCUCCCAGGUAACCUUAAGAAGAUUUUAGUCCCUAAUGAAAUGAACCUUUCCUUAUCAAAUAGAAUAUCACUGAUAUACUGCUGCAUGAAUAAGAACCAUUAUGUGGGCAGGUUAUGGAAGCAAAAUUGUUUAAUCUACACCUUAACUCUGGCUGCUGCAAUUGAAAACUUUCUUUCUAAUAAAAUAAUAUAUAUAUCUCUGAAUCUGAUGUGCAUGAUGAACAUUUCUGGAAAGUAAACACUUUCUCUCGACUAAGAAAGUAUUUUUCAGUAAUUUUUGAUUCUGUAUUACUACCCACUUAAAAAAUCAUUCUCUGUUAAUUAUUGACUAUGUUUUAACUUUUCUGGUUUUACAUAUAUAUCAUUAAAUAUAGUUUUAGUUUAACACAUUAAGUAGUAGAAAAUUAUAGAUUAUACACUUGUUUUGCAUAUUAUUCAAUGAUGUUCACAGCAAUAAAUUAC